Non-coding RNA from Clostridiales bacterium 52_15, 64 nucleotides. The record is from Rfam. NCBI's taxonomy places the organism in Bacteria, Bacillati, Bacillota, Clostridia, Eubacteriales.
ACAAUGGUACUCCCGUAACUCGCGGCCCGGCCACAAUGAAGGCGGGGAGAUGAAAUUUCUGUGG